AGAUUGAGAGGAAAGAUGAGAGGGAGGAGAUACAAAAGUGAAAACAAAAACUAAAAACUGAAAUCUAUUUGAAAUUGUUUUGACUUUUGUUACUACUCCCUCCCAUCCUCCCCUUUCAUCAUC
RNAcentral lists this microRNA precursor (123 nucleotides) under Prunus dulcis (almond). RNAcentral's name for it is "sRNA ncRNA". The record is from RNAcentral. Lineage: Eukaryota; Viridiplantae; Streptophyta; Magnoliopsida; Rosales; Rosaceae.